UCCGGUUUGUCACCGGCAGUCUCACUAGAGUGCCCUUUCGUAGCAACUAGUGACAGGGGUUGCGCUCGUUGCGGGACUUAACCCAACACCUCACGGCGCGAGCUGACGACAGCCAUGCACCACCUGCGCAGAAGUCCCUUGCGGGAGGUUCUCGCUUUCACGAAAAUUUCCUCUGCAUGUCAAGCCCAGGUAAGGUUCUUCGCGUUGCCUCGAAUUAAACCACACGCUCCGCUGCUUGUGCGGGCCCCCGUCAAUUCCUUCGAGUUUUAGCCUUGCGGCCGUACUCCCCAGGCGGAGUGCUUAACGCGUUAGCUGCGGCACUGGAGGGGUCAAUACCCCCAACGCCUAGCACUCAUCGUUUACGGCGUGGACUAC
RNAcentral lists this unclassified non-coding RNA (375 nucleotides) under uncultured bacterium. RNAcentral describes it as "contains 16S-23S intergenic spacer region". The record is from RNAcentral.